AAAAUGUUGUGCAGUUUGGUUACAACCUAAACACGUGUGGCAACCCUCGAGGUCCACCUUCUUCCCAACCUUUAUGAGGCUUGGGGCGUGGGUCAGAGACUAAUUACCUCCAAGUCCUACCAAGGUUGUGACCAUCCCCAUUUGGAAAAAGCAGCAAUAUCGAAAAUGCCAAAAAAGUGAAAAAUGAAAGAAAAGAAAAAAAAAGAAGAAGAAAAGCAAGUUGUAUAUAGUAGAUUACAGCUAGUAGUAUAGUCAAGCAAGCAAAUUAGAUGAAGGUGCUAGCAUUGCUUGAGUGUUGUGAUUGGCAUGAAAAAUUGUUGUAA
Molecule: long non-coding RNA, 323 nt
Filed under: Linum usitatissimum (flax)
Lineage: Eukaryota; Viridiplantae; Streptophyta; Magnoliopsida; Malpighiales; Linaceae
Description: long non-coding RNA (LUSI_LNC005167)
Source: RNAcentral